GCCGCUGUAGCUCAACGGAUAGAGCAGUUCCCUUCUAAGGAAAAGGUUGAGUGUUCGAUUCACUCCAGCGGCACAA
This 76-nucleotide transfer RNA is filed under the name Candidatus Amesiibacteriota bacterium. Its description in RNAcentral is "Candidatus Amesbacteria bacterium (sediment metagenome) tRNA-Arg". It matches the Rfam family "tRNA". From Rfam's summary of the family: Transfer RNA (tRNA) molecules are approximately 80 nucleotides in length. Their secondary structure includes four short double-helical elements and three loops (D, anti-codon, and T loops). Lineage: Bacteria; Candidatus Amesiibacteriota. The record is from RNAcentral.